RNAcentral lists this ribosomal RNA (497 nucleotides) under uncultured bacterium. RNAcentral's name for it is "partial 16S ribosomal RNA". It matches the Rfam family "Bacterial small subunit ribosomal RNA", at positions 28 to 507 of the family's 1533-position model. The record is from RNAcentral.
GAUGAACGCUGGCGGCGUGCCUAAUACAUGCAAGUCGAGCGAACAGACGAGGAGCUUGCUCCUCUUGCGUUAGCUGCGAACGGGUGAGUAACGCGUAGGUAACCUGCCUUUUAGACGGGGAUAACUUCGGGAAACCGUAGCUAAUACCGGAUAAUAUAUGAAACCGCAUGGUUUAAUAGUGAAAGGCGGUUUUGCUCUCACUUAUAGAGGAAUCCCCGCGGCAUUGUCUAGUGGUGAAGGUAACGGCUUACCAAGGCAACGAUGCGUAGCCGACUUGAGAGGGGGAUAGGCACAACUGGACCUGAGCACCGGCCCAGACCCCUCCGGGAGCAAGCAGAAGGGAAUCUUGCGCAAUGGGGGAAAGCUUGCCGGAGAAACGCCGCGUAGGUGAUGAGGGUCUUCGGAUCGUAAACCCCGGUUAUUAGGGAAGAACAAAUGUGUAAGUAAAUAUGCACGUCUUGACGGUACCUAAUCAGAAAGCCACGGCUAACUACGUG